GAUGAACGCUAGCGGCAGGCUUAAUACAUGCAAGUCAAGGGGGUAGCAAUACUACCGGCGCACGGGUGAGUAACACGUACAUAACAUACCAUAUACUGGGGUAUAGCUUUGGGAAACUGAAGGUAAUCCCCCAUAACAUUGCGAGAGGGCAUCUGAUUGCAAUUAAAGUUUCGACGGUAUAUGAUUGAUGUGCGUUUGAUUAGCUUGUUGGUAGGGUAACGGCCUACCAAGGCGACGAUCAAUAGCUGGCGUGAGAGCGCGACCAGCCACACUGGAACUGAGACACGGUCCAGACUCCUACGGGAGGCAGCAGUAGGGAAUAUUGGACAAUGGGCGAAAAGCCUGAUCCAGCCAUGCCGCGUGAUAGAUGAAGGCCCUCUGGGUUGUAAAUAUCUUUUAUCUGGGAAGAAACAAUCUUAUUCUUAAGAUCUUGACGGUACCAGAGGAAUAAGCACCGGCUAACUCCGUGCCAGCAGCCG
This 479-nucleotide ribosomal RNA is filed under the name uncultured bacterium. Its description in RNAcentral is "bacterial SSU rRNA". It matches the Rfam family "Bacterial small subunit ribosomal RNA", at positions 28 to 517 of the family's 1533-position model. The record is from RNAcentral.